UCAUUUGGAAUACACUGUCCGCCACCA
RNAcentral lists this non-coding RNA (27 nucleotides) under Bombyx mori (domestic silkworm). The record is from RNAcentral. Lineage: Eukaryota; Metazoa; Arthropoda; Insecta; Lepidoptera; Bombycidae.